RNAcentral lists this ribosomal RNA (465 nucleotides) under uncultured bacterium. Its description in RNAcentral is "partial 16S ribosomal RNA". It matches the Rfam family "Bacterial small subunit ribosomal RNA", at positions 338 to 795 of the family's 1533-position model. The record is from RNAcentral.
CCUACGGGGGGCAGCAGUAGGGAAUCUUCCACAAUGGGCGAAAGCCUGAUGGAGCAACGUCGCGUGGGUGAAGAAGGUCUUCGGAUCGUAAAACCCUGUUGUUAGAGAAGAAAGUGCGUGAGAGUAACUGUUCACGUUUCGACGGUAUCUAACCAGAAAGCCACGGCUAACUACGUGCCAGCAGCCGCGGUAAUACGUAGGUGGCAAGCGUUAUCCGGAUUUAUUGGGCGUAAGGGGAACGCAGGCGGUCUUUUAAGUCGGAUGGGAAAGCCUUCGGCUUAACCGGAGUAGUGCAUUGGAAACGGGGAGACUUGAGUGCAGAAGAGGAGAGUGGAACUCCAUGGUGAGGGGUGAAAUGCGUAGAUAGAAGGAGGAACACAAGUGGCGAAGGCGGCUCUCUGGUCUGUAACUGACGCUGAGGUUCGAAAGCGUGGGUAGCAAACAGGAUUAGAUACCCGAGUAGUC